AGUAUACUCCCUCCGUCCGGAAAUACUUGUCAUCAAAAUGGAUAAAAGAAGAUGUAUCUAGACGUAUUUUAGUUCUAGAUACAUCCUGUUUUAUCCAUUUUGAUGACAAGUAUUUUCGGACGGAGGGAGUACAUA
This is a non-coding RNA of Triticum aestivum (bread wheat), 135 nucleotides long. Lineage: Eukaryota; Viridiplantae; Streptophyta; Magnoliopsida; Poales; Poaceae. The record is from Rfam.